This 238-nucleotide long non-coding RNA is filed under the name Daucus carota (carrot). Its description in RNAcentral is "long non-coding RNA (DCAR_LNC004895)". The record is from RNAcentral. Lineage: Eukaryota; Viridiplantae; Streptophyta; Magnoliopsida; Apiales; Apiaceae.
AACUUCUCAAGUUCAAGAAGAGGUGAUAGUGGAAGAUGCACAGACAUCCUCAGAUGACAAUGCUCAAUCUGAAGGAGAGGAUUCACUGCAAGACAACUCCACUGAUUCAGAAGAUGAAGUGAAUACUCCUAUUCAAACCACUGCAGCUGAUGUAAUGGUGGAUGUUGAUGAACUUUUCUCUAACACUUACAAUCCACUGCUACAGUCAGGUAUUCCUUCUGACUCUGACAACUUGUCC